Molecule: ribosomal RNA, 518 nt
Filed under: uncultured bacterium
Lineage: Bacteria
Description: bacterial SSU rRNA
Rfam family: Archaeal small subunit ribosomal RNA
Source: RNAcentral
AACCUCCGCAAUGUGAGAAAUCGCGACGGGGGGAUCCCAAGUGCCAUUCUUAACGGGAUGGCUUUUCAUUAGUGUAAAGAGCUUUUGGAAUAAGAGCUGGGCAAGACCGGUGCCAGCCGCCGCGGUAACACCGGCAGCUCUAGUGGUAGCAAUUUUUAUUGGGCCUAAAGCGUCCGUAGCCGGUUUAAUAAGUCUCUGGUGAAAUCCUGUAGCUUAACUGUGGGAAUUGCUGGAGAUACUAUUAGACUUGAGACCGGGAGAGGUUAGAGGUACUCCCAGGGUAGAGGUGAAAUUCUGUAAUCCUGGGAGGACCGCCUGUUGCGAAGGCGUCUAACUGGAACGGUUCUGACGGUGAGGGACGAAAGUUAGGGGCGCGAACCGGAUUAGAUACCCGGGUAGUCCUAACUGUAAACGAUGCGGACUUGGUGUUGGGGUGGCUUUGAGCUGCUCCAGUGCGAAGGAAGCUGUAAGUCCGCCGCCUGGGAAGUACGGUCGCAAGACUGAAACUUAAAGGAAUU